Molecule: ribosomal RNA, 253 nt
Filed under: uncultured bacterium
Lineage: Bacteria
Description: partial 16S ribosomal RNA
Rfam family: Bacterial small subunit ribosomal RNA
Source: RNAcentral
UACGGAGGGUGCAAACGUUGCUCGGAAUUAUUGGGCGUAAAGGGCUCGUAGGCGGUUUGUCGCGUCGGGAGUGAAAACCAGGUGCUUAACACCUGGCUUGCUUUCGAUACGGGCAGACUAGAGGUAUGCAGGGGAGAACGGAAUUCCUGGUGUAGCGGUGAAAUGCGCAGAUAUCUGGAGGAAUACCGGUGGCGAAGGCGGCAUCCUGGACCGACAUUGACGCUGAGGAGCGAAAGCUAGGGGAGCAAACGGG